AACGAACGCUGGCGGCAUGCCUAACACAUGCAAGUCGAACGAGACCUUCGGGUCUAGUGGCGCACGGGUGCGUAACGCGUGGGAACCUGCCCUUAGGUUCGGAAUAACUCCCGAAAGGGGUGCUAAUACCGGAUAAUGUCUUCGGACCAAAGAUUUAUCGCCUUUGGAUGGGCCCGCGUUGGAUUAGCUAGUUGGUAGGGUAAAAGCCUACCAAGGCGACGAUCCAUAGCUGGUCUGAGAGGAUGAUCAGCCACACUGGGACUGAGACACGGCCCAGACUCCUACGGGAAGCAGCAGUGGGGAAUAUUGGACAAUGGGCGAAAGCCUGAUCCAGCAAUGCCGCGUGAGUGAUGAAGGCCUUAGGGUUGUAAAGCUCUUUUACCCGGGAUGAUAAUGACAGUACCGGGAGAAUAAGCUCCGGCUAACUCCGUG
RNAcentral lists this ribosomal RNA (432 nucleotides) under uncultured bacterium. RNAcentral's name for it is "partial 16S ribosomal RNA". It matches the Rfam family "Bacterial small subunit ribosomal RNA", at positions 29 to 507 of the family's 1533-position model. The record is from RNAcentral.